UACGUAGGGCGCAAGCGUUAUCCGGAAUUAUUGGGCGUAAAGAGCUCGUAGGCGGUUUGUCGCGUCUGCCGUGAAAGUCCGGGGCUCAACUCCGGAUCUGCGGUGGGUACGGGCAGACUAGAGUGAUGUAGGGGAGACUGGAAUUCCUGGUGUAGCGGUGAAAUGCGCAGAUAUCAGGAGGAACACCGAUGGCGAAGGCAGGUCUCUGGGCCAUACUGACGCUGAGGAGCGAAAGCGUGGGGAGCGAACAGG
Molecule: ribosomal RNA, 252 nt
Filed under: uncultured bacterium
Lineage: Bacteria
Description: partial 16S ribosomal RNA
Rfam family: Bacterial small subunit ribosomal RNA
Source: RNAcentral